This 200-nucleotide unclassified non-coding RNA is filed under the name Ascomycota sp. RNAcentral's name for it is "partial internal transcribed spacer 2". Lineage: Eukaryota; Fungi; Ascomycota. The record is from RNAcentral.
UUAAGUUCAGCGGGUAUUCCUACCUGAUCCGAGGUCAACCUGAAAAAAUUGUGGUUAAGGCCGAGCCGGAGACCGCCACGGUGCGUGCUGAAGAAGCUCGCUGCACCCGGGGUCAACAGACUCCGCCACUGCAUUUCCGGCCCACCGACACGCGGUGAGGCCCAAAGUCAAGCCGGGCUUGAGGGUUGAUAAUGACGCUC